CCUACGGGGCGCAGCAGUGAGGAAUAUUGGUCAAUGGGCGAGAGCCUGAACCAGCCAAGUCGCGUGAGGGAAGACGGUCCUAUGGAUUGUAAACCUCUUUUGCCGGGGAGCAAAAAGCGGUACGUGUACCGCAUCGAGAGUACCCGGAGAAAAAGCAUCGGCUAACUCCGUGCCAGCAGCCGCGGUAAUACGUAUGAAGCAAGCGUUAUCCGGAUUUACUGGGUGUAAAGGGAGCGCAGACGGCAGGGCAAGUCUGAUGUGAAAGUCCGGGGCUCAACCCCGGGCCUGCAUUGGAAACUGUCCGG
Molecule: ribosomal RNA, 305 nt
Filed under: uncultured bacterium
Lineage: Bacteria
Description: bacterial SSU rRNA
Rfam family: Bacterial small subunit ribosomal RNA
Source: RNAcentral